UUAAGUUCAGCGGGUAGUCCUACCUGAUUUGAGGUCAGAGCACAAAACAUGGGGGUUGUGAGCGGACGUCACCGGCGAAGGACGAAACUUAUUACGUCGAUCGAGGGCUUAUCCCACUAACACUUUUGAGGCGAGCCAGACGGCAGCGCCCAAGUCCAAGCCCGCCGGGAACAAACCCGGGGGUUGAAAGUUUCAUGACA
Molecule: unclassified non-coding RNA, 200 nt
Filed under: Fibulobasidium sp.
Lineage: Eukaryota; Fungi; Basidiomycota; Tremellomycetes; Tremellales; Sirobasidiaceae
Description: partial internal transcribed spacer 2
Source: RNAcentral